CCUACGGGAGGCAGCAGUGAGGAAUAUUGGUCAAUGGGCGCUAGCCUGAACCAGCCAAGUAGCGUGAAGGAUGACUGCCCUAUGGGUUGUACACUUCUUUUAUAUGGGAAUACAGUUCAGUAUGUAUCCUGCUUUGCAUGUCCCUUAUGAAUAAGGAUCGGCUAACUCCGUGCCAGCAGCCUCUGUACUACUGUGUAUUCGAGCGUUCUCCGGAUUUCUUGGUGUUAAAGGGAGCGUAAGCGGGUUGGUAAGUCAGUUGUGAAAGUUUGCGGAUCAACCGUAAAAUGGCAGUUGAUACUGGCAGCCUUGAGUACAGUAGAGGUAGGCGGAAUUCGUGGUGUAGCGGUGAAAUGCUUAGAUAUCACGAAGAACUCCGAUUGCGAAGGCAGCCUGCUGGACUGUAACUGACGCUGAUGCUCGAAAGUGUGGGUAUCAAACAGGAUUAGAUACCCUGGUAGUC
RNAcentral lists this ribosomal RNA (460 nucleotides) under uncultured bacterium. Its description in RNAcentral is "partial 16S ribosomal RNA". It matches the Rfam family "Bacterial small subunit ribosomal RNA", at positions 338 to 795 of the family's 1533-position model. The record is from RNAcentral.